GCGGCGGGCCUAACACAUGCAAGUCGAACGAGAAUCUCUUCGGAGAGGAAAGUGGCGCACGGGUGCGUAACACGUGGAUAACCAACCCCCUGGUUCGGGAUAACAUCGGGAAACUGGUGCUAAUACCGGGUGUGUCUGCGAGGCCGUCAGGUCUUGCAGAGAAAGACACGCAAGGGUCGCCAGGGGACGGGUCCGCGACCCAUCAGCUAGUUGGUGAGGUAAUGGCUCACCAAGGCGAAGACGGGUAGCUGGUCUGAGAGGAUGAUCAGCCACACUGGAACUGAGACACGGUCCAGACUCCUACGGGAGGCAGCAGUGGGGAAUAUUGCGCAAUGGGCGAAAGCCUGACGCAGCCACGCCGCGUGAGCGAUGAAGGUCUUCGGAUCGUAAAGCUCUGUGGGGGGAGAAGAAGAAAGCCGGUGAAGAGCCGGCCUUGACGGUAUCCCCUUAGCAAGCACCGGCUAACUCCGUGCCAGCAGCCGCGGUAA
This 488-nucleotide ribosomal RNA is filed under the name uncultured delta proteobacterium. Its description in RNAcentral is "bacterial SSU rRNA". It matches the Rfam family "Bacterial small subunit ribosomal RNA", at positions 39 to 523 of the family's 1533-position model. The record is from RNAcentral. Lineage: Bacteria; Deltaproteobacteria.